AGCUGCCUGAGCAGCCCGUGCAGACGCCGCAAGCAGAAGAGCCCACCGGCCUGAUUCAGGUGCUCCGGUCUCGUGGUUUUGCUGCAUCGGUCUAAAACAAACGCAAGAAACAAAGAGGUGGAUCAGAAUGGAAGACGAGCCAGGGGGUCUGCACCCGGAAGCUGCCAGGGCCACGCAACGGGGCAAAUGAACCCGGCUUUUACCUGCGUGACCUCGGCACAGGACUCACGGAACAGAGCCAGAGUGACCAACGAGAAGCACCUUUAGGACGCCUGGAACUUGAAGCUCACUCGAUCCUUCCAUCCUCCUCCUCUGUGUUUAGCUCGCAUUCUUAAUACAUCUCACAGGCCUCGUGAGUUGCUUCUUCAUA
Pteropus alecto (black flying fox) is the source of this 370-nucleotide long non-coding RNA. RefSeq lists it as uncharacterized. Lineage: Eukaryota; Metazoa; Chordata; Mammalia; Chiroptera; Pteropodidae. The transcript has 2 exons. The record is from RefSeq and is a predicted model, not a curated record.